Molecule: ribosomal RNA, 453 nt
Filed under: uncultured Anaerolineaceae bacterium
Lineage: Bacteria; Bacillati; Chloroflexota; Anaerolineae; Anaerolineales; Anaerolineaceae
Description: bacterial SSU rRNA
Rfam family: Bacterial small subunit ribosomal RNA
Source: RNAcentral
GACGGGGACCCGCACAAGCAGCGGAGCGUGUGGUUUAAUUCGAUGCUACACGAAGAACCUUACCAGGGUUUGACAUGCAAGUGGUAGGAAACUGAAAGGGACGACCUUCGGGAGCUUGCACAGGUGCUGCAUGGCUGUCGUCAGCUCGUGUCGUGAGAUGUUCGGUUAAGUCCGCUAACGAGCGCAACCCUCACUGUGUGUUAUAUGUGUCACACGGGACUGCCGGUUUUAAGCCGGAGGAAGGUGGGAUGACGUCAAGUCAGCAUGGCCUUUAUAUCCUGGGCUACACACACGCUACAAUGGUCGGUACAAUAGGUUGCCAAGCCGCGAGGCGGAGCCAAUCCAAAAAAGCCGGCCUCAGUUCAGAUUGUAGGCUGCAACUCGCCUGCAUGAAGAUGGAGUUGCUAGUAACCGCAGGUCAGCAAUACUGCGGUGAAUACGUUCCCGGGUCUU